This 495-nucleotide ribosomal RNA is filed under the name uncultured bacterium. RNAcentral's name for it is "partial 16S ribosomal RNA". It matches the Rfam family "Bacterial small subunit ribosomal RNA", at positions 28 to 507 of the family's 1533-position model. The record is from RNAcentral.
GACGAACGCUGGCGGCGUGCCUAAUACAUGCAAGUAGAACGCUGAAGGAGGAGCUUGCUUCUCUGGAUGAGUUGCGAACGGGUGAGUAACGCGUAGGUAACCUGCCUGGUAGCGGGGGAUAACUAUUGGAAACGAUAGCUAAUACCGCAUAAUAGUAGAUGUUGCAUGACAUUUGCUUAAAAGGUGCAAUUGCAUCACUACCAGAUGGACCUGCGUUGUAUUAGCUAGUUGGUGAGGUAACGGCUCACCAAGGCGACGAUACAUAGCCGACCUGAGAGGGUGAUCGGCCACACUGGGACUGAGACACGGCCCAGACUCCUACGGGAGGCAGCAGUAGGGAAUCUUCGGCAAUGGACGGAAGUCUGACCGAGCAACGCCGCGUGGGUGAAGAAGGUUUUCGGAUCGUAAAGCUCUGUUGUAAGAGAAGAACGAGUGUGAGAGUGGAAAGUUCACACUGUGACGGUAUCUUACCAGAAAGGGACGGCUAACUACGUG